UAGUGUUAUAGCUCUUUUAGAAUUUGUCUAGCAGGUUUUCCGGUUUUCAUCCAAAAACCCCC
Small nuclear RNA from Chlorocebus sabaeus (green monkey), 62 nucleotides. Its record names the gene U7. It matches the Rfam family "U7 small nuclear RNA". Rfam says of the family: Animal histone pre-mRNAs are spliced by a different mechanism than nuclear pre-mRNAs and self-splicing introns. This processing involves the U7 snRNP, which contains only one RNA species: U7. The record is from Ensembl. Lineage: Eukaryota; Metazoa; Chordata; Mammalia; Primates; Cercopithecidae.